This 1393-nucleotide long non-coding RNA is filed under the name Monodelphis domestica (gray short-tailed opossum). RNAcentral's name for it is "lncRNA (ENSMODG00000045774.1)". The record is from RNAcentral. Lineage: Eukaryota; Metazoa; Chordata; Mammalia; Didelphimorphia; Didelphidae.
GACAGAUAGAAUCUACACAAACAAAAGCUCUCUGAGGCCAACAGUUUUUAAUUGUGUAAAGCGGUCCUGGGACCGGAGUUUGAGAGUGGCUGAUCUAGGCUGCCUCUACAGGGCAGACUGGGGCUCAGAGAAUAAUUGCUGAUGUUGCUUCUUCCUUACCUAUUUUCCCUGAGUGGCAAACCCCCCCCAAAGCCACAGCCUUGGCUAUGGAGCCAGCCUAGAUGUCCUCUUUCUAACUUUUCUAACCAUUUCAGGAGGACCGCCACGGUGAUACUCAGGAGGAAAACUGCCAUCUGCCCAAGGCUUCAGCACCUCAAGCAGCUCCAUGGCCACGGAGAGGUUUGGAGUUCAUGGCCUCACCCUGUGACCAGAGAGGUCAGGAGAGGGGGGUGAUGAGGCGAAGGACCAAGGCGGAUGAGAUCUUCCUGCAUGAAGAGGCUUCCCAGUAAUGAGCUUCCUGCUCAUGGUGGAGAAGGCAGAGUGGUGCUGCCAGGUGAGGAAUGAAGGCGGGAUGGGAUUUGCUUGUAAAUCUAUCUGCUGCCAAGUUUUUGACCUCCUCCUUUGAGAAUUCAUUGGUAGCCCGUUGGAUUUCUUUUCUGAGACUGGGUUAUUUCUUGUUCUGGUAUCCCAGAUGUGUUGUAGUUGUCAAUGUUUAUACACUUUCCAGUUCUCGGUAUUAUUGACACCGUUGGGGAAAUAGUUGCUAGCUAAUAACAUUAUCUGUUUCUUCAUUCGUUGUGAAUUCUUCUUUUUCAUGCUCGAUGCAGGUAAGUUCAUGCUCUUCUUUCUUCUUUCAACAUCAGAUUAGCUAGUUGUCUAGACAGUACUGUGCUGGAAUUUCUUUUGAAGAGCUCCUCCCUGUUUUACCGGAUGCUAGGUUGUUGUGCCUUUCAUUUUUAGUCACUUGAUUUUUGAUUUUCAGCAUGUAGAAUAGGGUAGUUAAUGGAGCUUAAUUAAUAUUCUUCCUCUGUUGGGUUUGCUGGUUCUUUAGCUGAAGGCCCAAUUUGUUGCUUUGUUCUUUCUUUUCUUGCUGAGUGUUUAGAGAUGUCAAUUUUCCCCCAAGGAUCGUUUUGGUUGCAUACCCAAACUGUGCUUGUUAUCUUGCUGUAUCAUUGUCGUUAAUGAAAUUUUCUCAUGUCACUGAUUUGUUCUGACCCCCUAAUUCCUUGGGAGUAAGUUCUUUUUAUCUCCAGUUCAUUUGCCGGCUCUCUUUUUGAGACUGGGCAGGCCCUCCUCCCCCCUUGUCCAUCUCUGUAUGGGGAAGAAUGGGAGAGAAUUGGCCAAAGGAAGCGCCCAGGAGUGGAUGUCUUUCCAUGUUCUGAGCUGGGCACAGAUACUACACCAGGAAGGAGCCAGGGCGAAUGGGGCCCUAGAAAGGGCCCAUGUGCAAGGA